GGGUUAAGUCCCGCAACGAGCGCAACCCUUGUCAUUAGUUGCUACGAAAGGGCACUCUAAUGAGACUGCCGGUGACAAACCGGAGGAAGGUGGGGAUGACGUCAAGUCCUCAUGGCCCUUAUAGGUGGGGCUACACACGUCAUACAAUGGCUGGUACAGUGGGUUGCCAACCCGCGAGGGGGAGCUAAUCCCAUAAAACCAGUCGUAGUCCGGAUCGCAGUCUGCAACUCGACUGCGUGAAGUCGGAAUCGCUAGUAAUCGCGGAUCAGCAUGUCGCGGUGAAUACGUUCCCGGGUCUUGUACACACCGCCCGUCACACCAUGGGAGCGGGUUCUGCCAGAAGUAGUUAGCCUAACCGCAAGGAGGGCGAUUACCACGGCAGGGUUCGUGACUGGGGUGAAGUCGUAACAAGGUAGCCGUAUCGGAAGGUGCGGCUGGAUCACCUCCUUU
Molecule: ribosomal RNA, 450 nt
Filed under: uncultured bacterium
Lineage: Bacteria
Description: bacterial SSU rRNA
Rfam family: Bacterial small subunit ribosomal RNA
Source: RNAcentral